AUUGAACGCUGGCGGCAGGCCUAACACAUGCAAGUCGAACGGUAACAGAAAGCAGCUUGCUGCUUUGCUGACGAGUGGCGGACGGGUGAGUAAUGUCUGGGAAACUGCCUGAUGGAGGGGGAUAACUACUGGAAACGGUAGCUAAUACCGCAUAACGUCGCAAGACCAAAGAGGGGGACCUUCGGGCCUCUUGCCAUCGGAUGUGCCCAGAUGGGAUUAGCUAGUAGGUGGGGUAAAGGCUCACCUAGGCGACGAUCCCUAGCUGGUCUGAGAGGAUGACCAGCCACACUGGAACUGAGACACGGUCCAGACUCCUACGGGAGGCAGCAGUGGGGAAUAUUGCACAAUGGGCGCAAGCCUGAUGCAGCCAUGCCGCGUGUAUGAAGAAGGCCUUCGGGUUGUAAAGUACUUUCAGCGGGGAGGAAGGGAGUAAAGUUAAUACCUUUGCUCAUUGACGUUACCCGCAGAAGAAGCACCGGCUAACUCCGUGCCAGCAGCCGCGGUAAUACGGAGGGUGCAAGCGUUAAUCGGAAUUACUGGGCGUAAAGCGCACGCAGGCGGUUUGUUAAGUCAGAUGUGAAAUCCCCGGGCUCAACCUGGGAACUGCAUCUGAUACUGGCAAGCUUGAGUCUCGUAGAGGGGGGUAGAAUUCCAGGUGUAGCGGUGAAAUGCGUAGAGAUCUGGAGGAAUACCGGUGGCGAAGGCGGCCCCCUGGACGAAGACUGACGCUCAGUGCGAAAGCGUGGGGAGCAAACAGG
This 758-nucleotide ribosomal RNA is filed under the name uncultured bacterium. RNAcentral describes it as "bacterial SSU rRNA". It matches the Rfam family "Bacterial small subunit ribosomal RNA", at positions 28 to 776 of the family's 1533-position model. The record is from RNAcentral.